AAAUUUCACACUUGUAAGGUUUUUCCCCAGUGUGCACUCUCAAAUGUGUUCUUAAAUUACUUUUAUUAGUAAAUUGCUUCAAACAAAUUUCACACUUGUACGGUUUUUCCCCAGUGUGCACUCUCAAAUGUGUUCUUAAAUUACUUUUAUUAGUAAAUUGCUUCAAACAAAUUUCACACUUGUACGGUUUUUCCCCAGUGUGCACUCUCAAAUGUGUUCUUAAAUUACUUUUAUUAGUAAAUUGCUUCAAACAAAUUUCACACUUGUACGGUUUUUCCCCAGUGUGCACUCUCAAAUGUGUUCUUAAAUUACUUUUAUUAGUAAAUUGCUUCAAACAAAUUUCACACUUGUACGGUUUUUCCCCAGUGUGCACUCUCAAAUGUGUUCUUAAAUUACUUUUAUUAGUAAAUUGCUUCAAACAAAUUUCACACUUGUACGGUUUUUCCCCAGUGUGCACUCUCAAAUGUGUUCUUAAAUUACUUUUAUUAGUAAAUUGCUUCAAACAAAUUUCACACUUGUACGGUUUUUCGCCAGUGUGUAUUCUCAAAUGUUUUUUCAAAUCGUCAUUUCGUCUAAAUUGCUUAGAACAAAUUUCACAUUCAUAUGGCUUUUCUCCAGUGUGCAAUCUCAUAUGUUCUUUCAAAUGUCCUAGUUGAGAACACCCUUUAA
This 669-nucleotide long non-coding RNA is filed under the name Diabrotica virgifera virgifera (western corn rootworm). RNAcentral describes it as "uncharacterized LOC126879821". The record is from RNAcentral. Lineage: Eukaryota; Metazoa; Arthropoda; Insecta; Coleoptera; Chrysomelidae.